AUGGUGGGAAGCAGGUGAGUUGAUGCCUACUAACAGGUGCUGCCAUGAUGGAUCUAAAAUGACAGACUGACUCUUGGGCCACCGUAGAAGGCUCCAUAUGUGCUUUCAUUCCACAGUACCGUCCACAACAGCUGCGAUGUCAUCGCUGUUAUUCCCAGUUACCAGAGAUAUGAUGGGAGGACUUGGCUAUGGUUUGCUGUAGAGGCCGCUUGAAAUGACUUUGCGUCUACCGUAAUGAGGCCUGCUUAGGCACCGCGUGGACUGCGAGCCUGAUCUGUCUGCUGAAUCCCAUUGAGCCACGGCGACGUGUCAGCGAAUCACACAUUAGAUAUUGUAUUAUUUAUUGUUUACUUUAGCGCAGCCUUCCUUGCAUGUCAACAUUUUCCCAUUGUACGAUUUCAAGUCUUUGAAUGCUGACAUCGCAUUAGCAGCCAGUUCCAAAGCCCCCAAAUAAUGCAUUAACUAUUAUUAUUCCUUCUGA
This is a long non-coding RNA of Pantherophis guttatus, 481 nucleotides long. RefSeq lists it as uncharacterized. NCBI's taxonomy places the organism in Eukaryota, Metazoa, Chordata, Lepidosauria, Squamata, Colubridae. The record is from RefSeq and is a predicted model, not a curated record.